CCUACGGGAGGCAGCAGUGGGGAAUAUUGGGCAAUGGGCGCAAGCCUGACCCAGCAACGUAGCGUGAAGGAAGACGGCCCUCGGGUUGUAAAACUUCUUUGAUAGGGAAGUGCAGAAGACGGUACCUGUCUAAUAAGCUACGGCUAACUACGUGCCAGCAGCCGCGGUAAUACGUAGGUGGCAAGCGUUGUCCGGAUUUACUGGGUGUAACGGGAGUGUAGACGGGCUGGCAAGUCAGAUGUGAAAUCCGGGGGCUCAACCCCCGAACUGCAUUUGAAACUGUUGGUCUUGAGUAUCGGAGAGGCAGGCGGAAUUCCUAGUGUAGCGGUGAAAUGCGUAGAUAUUAGGAGGAACACCAGUGGCGAAGGCGGCCUACUGGACGGCAACUGACGGUGAGGCGCGAAAGCGUGGGGAGCAAACAGGAUUAGAUACCCGUGUAGUC
Molecule: ribosomal RNA, 442 nt
Filed under: uncultured bacterium
Lineage: Bacteria
Description: partial 16S ribosomal RNA
Rfam family: Bacterial small subunit ribosomal RNA
Source: RNAcentral